This is a non-coding RNA of Arabidopsis thaliana x Arabidopsis arenosa, 107 nucleotides long. Lineage: Eukaryota; Viridiplantae; Streptophyta; Magnoliopsida; Brassicales; Brassicaceae. The record is from the annotation of a GenBank genome assembly.
AAGCCUUGAUGAGAGCAUUUGGUCUAAUAGCCUUUGAAGUGUUCCCAAGCUUCACAGAAGGUUUCAGUAUGCUUCUGUGUGAAUCCGGUUAUCUCACUCCGUAGUCG